Molecule: long non-coding RNA, 1092 nt
Filed under: Homo sapiens (human)
Lineage: Eukaryota; Metazoa; Chordata; Mammalia; Primates; Hominidae
Description: non-protein coding LINC01123:3
Source: RNAcentral
ACUCUUCUGCGGGAAGGGCUUGGCGUAGACCGCGCACUGGAAGGCGUGCGCGCAGGUGUGCGUGACCAUGUGCUUGAAACGGCAGUAGCGCAGCGAGAAGGAUCGCCAUCACACGGCGCACUGGUGCGGCUUCUCCCCCGAGUGGAUGAACAUGUGCUUGGUGUCGUUUUUCCUUGAGCUGAACGUCUUGCAACAGUGGCCGCACGCAUAGGGCUGACCCCACAUUGGACACCGCUGCAUCCAUGUCCAUCACACAACACAGCUGCCGUUUCUUCUGCCUGCUUAUGGGAAAGUCCCCUCUUCUCCUCCGUUUUCUUCUCUUCCUGCCCUAUCACACCGUGCACUUCUCCCUUUCCUUAAAGAACCACCAUCAACUUUAGGAGGAGGGAAAGGGGUGGCUCUGGCAGGAAAAGCCAGAAUCCCCUCUAGCCAGCAGAGAGAGAGAGGAAUGGCUGCAUGUUUUCUCCCCCAGUCCAAGGCACUGGGUCUUGGCUGGGUUGAAGGUUCCAAGCUGCUCUCCUGCUGUGUCGGUGAGUUCUGGUCAACCUGCAACCUCCUGAUAUGGCCAUUGCAGUUCAUCGAGUCUUCAGGGACUCCCCAUGGCCUGGAGUACUUUGCCUUGCUUACACGGGAGAGGAGAAUGGAUUUAUAGAGAACAUCAUCUAAAUCCAACUUGACCAUUGUGUGGCCACACUUGCUAGAUUGCUAUAGUCUAAAUCUAGCAUUGUAGAAAGACGGGGGAGCUUGGAGCUGCACAAACCCAGGUCUGGAACUGGCUCCUUACCUUGGAAGGUGAAUGAUCCUGCCAGGACUCUUAGCCUCCCUGGGUCUCAAUUUCUUUAUCUGUUUCAUGGGAAUGAGGAUCUCUGCUGGGUGGUUGGGUGAUGUGGGGGCUGUGUGAAAACAGCUUGUCAAUACAAGCCAAAAUAGAAAUAUUUCUCCACAGAGUAUGAAGGUCAAAUGAGAGAAUACAUUUAAAUUAAAUGGAAAAUUAAAAUGGUAAAAAAUGCAAAGCUGUAUUGAAAGUUCCGAGCUUCUCUAUAAGGAGCUUUUUGACUAUGGAAGAAUCCUGUACUCGUUCCCCCUAAAUAU